Molecule: RNA transcript, 8192 nt
Organism: Dermochelys coriacea (leatherback sea turtle)
Lineage: Eukaryota; Metazoa; Chordata; Testudines; Dermochelyidae
Gene: TOR3A
Gene name: torsin family 3 member A
Exons: 7
Source: RefSeq, a predicted model, not a curated record
UCCGGCAUGGCGCGCUGGGCCGGGCUCGCGCUGCUGCUCUGCUGCCUCGGGCCUCUGCGGGGCGGCGCUGCGGGGCGGAGCCGGGCGCCGGGGCCGCCGCCGGGCAGCGCCAUGAGCGACCUCGCCGGGCGCUACGGGCGGCCCCUGGCCUGCCGGCCGUGGCGGGAGGGCUGCGAGCAGCCGCAGGAAGAGGCCGGGCGGGGGUCGCAGGGUUGGAGCUUGCCUCUGGUGGGUCAGGAUUAUCUGGAGAUCCUUUCUAGCUGGUACUGCAGCUUUGGAAAGUGCUGCGAGACAAGAGACUGCAGAAUAGCCAACAACAUCACAGGGUUAGAGUUGGACCUGAGCAGGAGGCUACAUGGGCAGCACUUGGCAAAGAAUGUCAUUCUGAAAGCAAUGCAAAGCUUCCUGGAGACCACACAGCCGGAGAAGGCUCUGGCUCUCUCGUUCCAUGGCUGGUCUGGCACUGGGAAAAACUUUGUGGCCCGGAUGAUCGCUGAUCACUUGUACCGAGACGGGCUGAAAAGCGAGUGUGUUAAAGUCUUUAUAUCGCUCUUUCACUUCCCACAUCCCAAAUACGUGGACUUGUACAAGGUUCAGCUGAAGAAGCAGAUAAGCGAGACAGUGCAGCUCUGCAAGCAGUCAUUGUUCAUCUUCGAUGAGGCAGAGAAGCUUCACUCUGGCCUGCUGGAUGCCAUCAAACCCUAUGUGGAUCACUAUGACGGCACCAAUGAGGUGGAUUACAGGAGAUCCAUUUUCCUCUUCCUCAGUAACAUUGGUGGGAACAUCAUCAACCAGGUGACCCUGGACUUCUGGCGAGCUGGACGGGCCAGGGAGGAGAUCACCAUGGAAUACUUGGAGCAGCACCUGCGCAUGGAGCUGCUUGAGUCCACAGGAAGAACUUCAGUGUGGCCUAGCACAAACCAAGAUACAUGAGGCAAAAUGCACAUUCAGUGCCACUCUACAUCUGGGGUAAUUAGCACCAAAGUUCUAAUAAUCCAAUGGAAUAUGCAUACGAGAGCAGUCGCAGAGAGGAAGAAGAGAUGUUUUGAACCCCAAGAAUUUGAUCUUUUUCCCUCACCCUCAAACUCACGAGAGCCAAUUAGAAUUCCUACAAGAGCCAGUCAUUACCAGACUGUUCCUGCCAGGGCCAAUUGAAAUAGAUUUGUAACUCCAUCAAACCACCACUAUUCUGCUCUCCAGUCAACCACUCAACAAGGACAAUUAACAGCAUUCUGAGGAUUUCUACUAAAGUGUUAUUGCUUGGAGUAGGGAAUAUAGCGUGGACAGACGUUGCCUCUUUCCAGUUAAACCAAUACACUUUUUUUCACCCUUCACUUGUACAAGACAAGACAAUCGAGACACCCCCUAUUUUCUUUUCCCAUUGUGUUCCUCGGAGCGGGCCUUACCUUUCCAUCUGCGGUGGUAUUGAUCCUGUAGUGGUAAACACGCCCUUCGUACCGGAGGGAGAUGGACAGCUGCCCCGGGCUGCUCUCGCUUUCACGAACCAGGAAGCUGCCAUUGAUGAGGCUGCUCAGCAGAUACUCUGCUGCACUGCGUGACACAGGCCCGUGAUACCAGGAAUGCUUCUCCAGGCUGUUCACUGGUGUGAUAUAGUUGCUUGGCACCCAUCCCUGCCCAUUCUUAGAACAUACCUCACUCCAUUCACCAUUCUGGUUGUAACCCAGGACUCGUAGCUUCUCACCUGAGGAUGGGGACAAGAGUGGGUUGGGGGAAUCAAGCUGAAAUCAGGUCAGUCUUCUUUGAGUAUACAUACUACUAGUUAACUAAGCCUGCCUUUGCAGCUAGAGAAUACAAGUCUUUGGCAAUGACCCUUUAAUACAACAUUCCCAAGCUGCUCCAUGUAAUUUUUAAGUAGAUAAAAAGUAAAAUUCAGAAAGUGGACUCAGGUUAGCUUUUAACUUAGAUUUAGGAGCCGGGGCGGGGGAGGAAGGGAGAAUAGUUUUGACAACCUCCAAAUCUGAGGAGCAGAACAGCGAAGACACUAUUCCCUAAUUACUCCAGUUUGGAUACUCAGCUAAAACUUACUAACAUACAACCACAUUUCCACAUACGUCAACCAGUUCCAGUGCUUCCUCUGGUUUAGAUUUCUGGAGCAGGGAGCUGAUUCUUUCCUAAGAGGUUGAGGACCCAUUCUAGGUUGGAGGACUUAAAACCAACCCCUUUAAAAGUGGUUGUACAGCAAGAUACAUUUCUCUGGCAUCCACUGACACUAGUGCUAAAAUCUCCAAGCUGAUAUUUUCCUUGGUAUAUUUAAAGAAGCCUUUCAUUUCCAUUGAUUUGAGGCAGUGAAAUCUGUAUAUGGGCGAUAAAGUUGAGAAGUGUCACUAUAGACAGUGAAAGAAGCCUAUAUAUAUUACCACUGUAGGACCAUGAGAUUCUAGAUCUCAGUAUUAGUAUCACAGUACUACCACGCAGUGCUCCUCAGGCUGUUCAGUUACCUGCCCUCUGGGCCAGGAGCAAUUCUCUAAAUUGUGUGGCUAACUUUCCCAAAAUAUCUGUGUGCAUGUUGACAGCAGUGGUGCUGGGAUUAGUUUUUUGUGGUGAUGGAGAUACUGGUAAAAUCAGCAGCUGCUGACAAGAGCAGGGGAGAACUAGUGUUUUGAAAGCUGACAGUUUCAGAGCAGAUGCGGGAUCAAUGUCCCACCUGCUAAUAGUUUGGUCACUAAUGCCCAGCAUCACCAAGGCUUAUGCUGACUGCCACUCAAUCAAUGUCCUGUCUAAGGCUGAAGGACAUGCGGUGAUACUAGCAGUGAAAACUAAAUUAAACUAGUGCUAUAGGCCUAACCCGAGAGUUUACUAUUUCUGAAGAAAAACUAUGAAACUUCUCACACUGCAAUGGGAAGGUUAGGCAUAGGUGAUUUUUGGAGUAGUGGUAAUAAUUAUGCUCCUUGGAUCACCAACUGCGUACUAACUAGUAAUCUCUGCAUUAUGUUAUUUCUCCAGCAGGGGUCCCUGUUACACAAGUUAAAAAAACAAACCCCACACCUGCUAGCAAGGCACCAAUCUAUCCAUCAGCAAGCUGUUCAUGAAAGAAAAUCUACUUCAGCUACAUUCACUUCUUCCACUCUCUCUGGUGGAAUGAGGUGACAAGUGAUUCUAGUAUAUUAUUUUCUCAUUGUUAAACCCACAGCUUUAGCACUGAAGGGAGCUACCUAUAGUUCUGCAGGGAAAAGUUAAUACUGCCAUCUUAUGCCAGGACUAUACUAUAAACUUAGGUUCACCCAGCUACAUUGCUCAGGGGUGUGAAAAAUCCACAUCCCCAAGUGGCAGCCUAACCCCCAGCAUAGGCAGUGCUAAGUUGAUAGGUCAGUGGAAGAAUUCUUCUAUCUACUGCCUCUUGGGGAGUUGGAUUAACUACAGUAAUGGGAAAACCACCUCCUGUUGCUGUAGUAAGUUCUACACUGAAGUGCUACAGUGGCAUAACUGCAGUGUUGCACCUGUGCUGCUGUCAGUGGCUUAAGGGUAGACACAGCCUUAGUGUGAAAUACCCUUCCCACUGUAGAGCGGCAGAGAAACAACUGUCCAUGUGAGUCAUGCUUUCCCUCUAACUUAGGGCUGUUUGGACAGGUACGUGCUAUCAUCUCAGCUAUCACAGGACUGUGAAUCAACACCUUGAUAAGAACAAAGUGGAGCCACAUGAAGAUGUUGAAAGGGUACAAUGCGCCUUACCUUUGGUGAUGCUGAGUGUGUUGUCGCCGCUUGCUACAAAAUCAUAAAGUGCAACAAAAAGAUUGGGAUCGCUCUCAGUGGUUCCAAGCAGGUUCUCCUUAGAGCUCCACCUGAUGGCUUCAUUCAGUGCCUGGGGUUCAACAUCACAACCAUAGGGGCGGUGAAGGGCCUCUGGACAAAAAGCGAGAGGAGGGAAUUUUACUCUAUGAAUAAGAGCUGUGAAUGUCAAAAUCCAAUGCACACACAACAGCGUUGCUGCAACAUUGUGAUCACUGCAUAGAACAGGAAGUAUGGAUUUUGCAAGAAUGAAUGUUGUAUAUCAAUCCAGGCAUCAUAAAAACAGCCUGUUGACCAGAGGAUAUCGAGGCUGUUACAAACAAAUAUGAAAAUAUAUAGUAACUUAUGUUGAAACUGAAUUUCAUCAGCCCUUCUUCAAACUCAUCCCUACUUUUGGAAGUUUUUCCACAAGAGAAAGGAACAUACAAGUUUCUAAAGAUGAAGUGAAGGUAAGAUUGAUGAGAAACAGAUCUUUCAUAUAUGACCAUUUUACACAUUUUUUCCUCCUCUUUAAGGAAGCUGAACUGGAAAGAGUGGACAGAGACAUUAAGUAAUACUGACAUCAAAUGGCAUGUCUCCAUCAAGAUCAACCGCUUUAGGAAGCUUAAAAUGAUACAAAUGUUCCCAGAUCAAGCUUGGGACUAUACUAGCAUUUAAUGCAACAUUUUUUUUUUUUUUUUAAUAGUUAGGAAUUCAGAGACAGGAUGGAAUAAGGCAUGAAGGAGCCAGUUAAUUGAGUAAGAUGGGAAGAAUGAGGCAGCAAGAAGAGACACACCCAAAAGCAGGAGCUAGUCUACGCAGAGCCUUGAAAAGGGACAGAGAGCUUAACUGCGAUAUAGGAUGGGGACAAUGGGAAGCCAGUGAGAAAAACAGGUGAGGGCCUGGGCAUGGUCCAAGCAGCAGGCAACCCUUUGGCACGGAUUCAGAGGAGACCAAGACUCAUUGCUAGGAAACCAAAAGUAAGGAUUUUCCUGCGAUAUCCAUUCAGUUUUUCCACUUUACUCUCCUCCUUCCCUCCCCCUCCAUUUUAAUGCUACUGUAACAAACAUGACAGAACAGGCUGUGAUUGUUAAUUUAUCAAAUGUUUUUCUUAGCAGCACUCACGAAUAGUUACAUACUCUAUUGGUUAUGCUGGCAGAUUUUAUAACUAUCAUGAAAUCACAAACUUGCUUCUCAGGGAGACUAGUAAACAUGUGUCUGGAGUGACUAGAUCUGUAUUUGAGGUCUCAGAGAAGUUAUGUCCUUUGCCAGCAUGACCUGCUGAUCUUGUGAUUGGUGAGUAACCUACAUUCCAGGCCUAAUCAAAAAGUUAUCACAUGCACCAGCAGAACUCAUCAGGCUCAAAGUUACAAGCUCCACUAGCAAUAAAUAAACCUGCAGUUAGGUAUUAAGCUAAUGAUAUUUUCAUUCCUACCAUUUUACUGCAGGUAUGUGCAACAGUUUUUGUACGUGGAUUGCUGUCAUCUUAUCAAUACCAACUGGUUUUAGAGAAUGCUAAAGUACAACACUGGUAUCACAAGACAACAUGAAAAAAUCCCGGUGGAUAAAUUAUAGCACAAGUGCCCAUAUCCCAGCACAAGUGCCUGAAUGCUUAUAGCUGGGCAUGUAUAUACACAUCAAAUAGUUAGCACUGAACUGUUUUGGUGGCAACAGAUAGGAGCACCCAUUCCUUGAAGCAGCUGUCUUUAUGGAGCAAAAAUAAAUAGUAAUUAAAUAAUACAUUCUUUACACUUUUGUAGUGCCUUCCAUCAAAGCCAAAGUCUUUCAGUGCCUUGGGCAAGGUCACACACCAAGUCUGAGACAAAGAAAGUCUCCUGACGCCUAGUGCUCUUUACUUUAACGACCAGACUGUCCUCCAUUAAAGGAGCAGAAAUGCUACAAGCGUGUGACAAGAGCUUGCACUCUCUUUAAAGACAUUUGCACUUUUGGCCUCACAUUAACCAGGGUGCAAAUAUCUUCCUGGUUUCAAUUUUGCAUUUGCUUUAAAGUCAGAGAUUUAAAAAAAAAAAAAAAAGCAGUUUUCUUUUACAAUCAAAUAUCGUUUUAGAUAAAAAAAUACAAGCGUUUCAAUUCAAGCCAUGGUGGCUAAUGCAAUGAGCACCCAGCCCAUACUUAAGGUCUGACUAUAGCAGAUGUAUAAUCAGUUACUAUGAAUCUAGUUGUUAACUUCAUAGCAGGAGCAGAAUAUCAAUUCAGUUAAUAAUGCUGCUGAAUCAAGCACCACAGCCAGUCAGUAUCUACUAGCCUGCCCACACGCAGCUCAGCAGAGGAUACUUUAGCCAGAGGGAAAGCCCAGACCAAAGGCAGCAGUAGGUAUGCCACCUGCUGCUGAUUCCAUAGCCUUGAGCAACACUACCCACAUUAAACCAUUUGUGGUACUACACUGAGCCACCAAUAGGAAUUCAAAGCAGAUGUGGGACUACCACUACUUCCUUUUGAAUGCUUAGGAGAUUUGUGCAUGUUCAUAAGAGAAGUAUUACAUACCAAAAAAAAGCAAAACUGAAGUCAAUGGUUUGAUGUUUGAAGAGUAACUCUCAACAGUCAUUGAGAUUAGGGGUAAAAUAUUCAAAAGCACCUGAGGGAUUUACGAGACUUAACCCCAUUUUCAAAAGUGAUUUAGGCACAUUGGAGCCUUAUUUUCGGGAGGAAUAAGUGGCAGGAAAAAAGAAAAAACUGCUAGAUGAAAAAAAAGCUAUAUUUACAUAUGUUGAUUGUCUAACUCAUCAAGGAAACAAUGACAUUUAUGUAUAAUUAACAUAACCCCUGUAGAGUGAAUACUUCAUAAGCCCUACAUUUAGAUCCAGGGUAGGGCACCAAACUAGAAACCUAGUUUUUAAACUCUAGAUCCUUUUAACUUUAUGAUGCAUCUUAAAGUUAAAAUUAAUGUUAUGGUACUCCCAGAGUGAAGAUUUACAAUCUAGAAAAUCACUUCUCUUACACACUAGUUACAUCAUUUUGGAUCAAGGAAAAAGGAUGUGUAUCAUCCAUCCCUUUCCCCUUCCUGUUCUUUGUUCCCACUAUAGAAUUUACUCCCUUCCUGGAACAUUCAUUUUCCCGUUCACCCAAUUUGCAAAGUACCUUUUUCCCAUGCUACUGUUACUUCUCAUCCCAGCACAAGACUGAACAGAAAGAAAGUUAAAAGAAAGUCCUAAACCUGACAUUUUAGAAUCAGAUCAAACACUAAAGUUCUCUCCUCCUCUGAAAUACAAUCUGUAUAACUGCUCAAUAUGACAAGUUUUAAUGAUCCUCUAGAAAAAACUUAACAAAAACAGAAAUCCUCAGACUUCCUAUAGCUGAUCUUGUACUAUAAGGAAGAAAGACUUUUGUUUCCUUUCAAGUCCUCUAUUCAGUGUACAUAGCAACAUAGGAAUGAAGGGAUGCUGUGCAGCAUUUCCAUGCACCAUACCUGUGAAAUCAGAUAAAUCAGUAUCAGAAGCUUCAUUGCAGAGGCAGCAAAGCAGGUUCUCCUCUUUGCUAUAACUGCUGGACUGUAGUAGAACCGUUCCCAGGAUCAUAUUGUGCUCGACAGCAAGCAAAAGGAACUGCUAGACACAAGCAGUCUUAGAAUUCCACUCCCAGCACAAGUCCUUCCAUGUGAUUAUUACUCACAUGACUGGGAACCAAUCGGAAAAGCAUCACUCCAGGAGCAAGAGGAGUCGUUACUGAGAAAAUACAUUCUGUGCUCUAUCUAGCUGCUAUAACUAGAAGUAUAAUAAGGGUGGAGCUUCCCAAUGCGCUGUGGACAGCUUAAGGAGGAGGUGGAGAACAGACUGCAAAUUGAAACAUCUCUGGCAUCAAGCAAGUUAGUCUUGUUACAUUAGAUUUAGCAAAUUAAGACCAUAAGAAUCAUGCUUUCUCCAAGGAAACUUUUAGCUUUCAUCCAAAUGAUCUACCAUGUCGUCAUCAGUAAAGGGGCCACCCAGCUUGAGUCAUUUUCCACACCACAUGCAACUGCUCAUAUGCUAUUUACAGGAAUCGAAAAGAAACUACAUUAAAGAAACAUUAAAAGAGUGAGUAAGAUGUACAAAAGCUAAAAAACUGAUAAUCGGUGAUAAAAAAAAAUGUGCUGACGAGGACAUUCUGGUCCUAACUCGUACUUUUUUAAAAGACUAAAAGUAUAAACAGCACAGUAAACCUGCAUUUUUUGUUUAUGAAGAUCCAAGUCAGAUCACUUGUUAUUUCAAAGGGCCACUGUCAAACACAUUAUUUUUAAAUUGAUUAAUUUAAAUAAACAAACCAGUUUAUAGAGUUGCCUUUAAAAAGGAAUUUUUGAAAUUCCUGUAAUUUUUACAAGGGUUUCUCUGCAUUCCUUUUGAUGCGUAAGGAUUUAACAAUAGCAAAAGAGAAACCAACCAGCCAGGGGGAAGGAGUUGAAACUGAUUAUAUUUAAAGGCCCUUCCUUUUCAGUUUUUGUUUUAAAUUUCCCAGAAACUGGUAGAUUUUUA